Vitis vinifera (wine grape) is the source of this 635-nucleotide long non-coding RNA. RefSeq lists it as uncharacterized. Lineage: Eukaryota; Viridiplantae; Streptophyta; Magnoliopsida; Vitales; Vitaceae. The transcript has 4 exons. The record is from RefSeq and is a predicted model, not a curated record.
UAACACUUCAUAGUCAAUGUGAUGUGCAUGAGUUGGUCGAGAAUGAUUUAAUCAAUUGGGAUAGAAAUGAUAUUGCAGGAGAAACUAUCCAAAUGGAUGUUCUACUAUCACGACAAGAAAACAUUGUUGAAAGAGAUAAUGAAUUCAUUCAUGAUGAUGAUAUAGAUGAUGUGUAGCUAAUAAUAUUGGAAAUGUCACAUCGAAGAGGAAGAGUACAAAUAGUGUCUUCAGAAGAUGAGUUGGACAAUCUACAACAACUCUUAGACAUACAACCUGCUGCAACUACUACUCCUAGUAGUUCUGAUCCUUCUGAUUCUUCAGAUCCUUCUGUUGUUGGAAAAAUAUGAACUAGAAGAAACAUGUAAGAGCUACAUUCUUCAAUGUUGUGGAAAUUUGUUUAGAAGCUAUAGAAAUAAAAUGAAGGCCAGGUAUUAUAACCCUUAUAAUAUAGAUGAGGAGAGAUUGUGCCAUCGACCUCCACACUUAUCGGAUGAUGAUUGGAGGUGGCUCAUCCACUUUUGGGGUACACCUGAGGCCAAGGAUAUCUCAGAAAAAAAAAAAAAAAACAAGGCAAAUAGGGCAAAACAAGUGAUAAAGCAUACAUCGGGAUCAAAAAGUUAUGCUCAAAUUCGAUA